Molecule: long non-coding RNA, 370 nt
Organism: Odocoileus virginianus texanus
Lineage: Eukaryota; Metazoa; Chordata; Mammalia; Artiodactyla; Cervidae
Source: RefSeq, a predicted model, not a curated record
UUAAUUAGGGAAGGAAGAGGCUGCAAGACCAGGGAGAAAAACAGUCUAGAGAAACAACGGUGCUGCCUUGGGGCAAAGUCCUCGUUUCCCAUCAAGGGAUAAACUCGACAGUCUCUGAGCCAUUUUGCAGACACGGAAACCCCACCAGGUGAAAAUCUCAACUCUUAAGAAAAGGAAGAGGAAUGAGACAGAUGAUCUCAGGGCCAUGUGAGGGUGGAGCAAGAAGGUCGCUGUGGCAAAUGAGGAAGAGGGUUCUCACUAGCUGUUGUUGCAAACCAGCAAGACGGUGCUCACUGAAUCUGCCAGCAUCUUGAUCUCAGACUUCCCAGCUUCCAGGCCUUUGAGAAAUAAAUCUGUGCUGUUUAAGCCA